This 253-nucleotide ribosomal RNA is filed under the name uncultured bacterium. RNAcentral's name for it is "partial 16S ribosomal RNA". It matches the Rfam family "Bacterial small subunit ribosomal RNA", at positions 524 to 776 of the family's 1533-position model. The record is from RNAcentral.
GACGUAGGAUGCAAGCGUUGUCCGGAAUUAUUGGGCGUAAAGAGUUCGUAGGCGGUUGCCUAAGUCUGAUGUUAAAUACUAGAGCUCAACUCUGGCAUGGCAUUGGAAACUGGGCGGCUAGAGUGCGGUAGAGGUCUCGGGAAUUCCAGGUGUAGCGGUGAAAUGCGUAGAUAUCUGGAGGAACACCGGUGGCGAAAGCGCAAGACUGGGCCGUAACUGACGCUGAGGAACGAAAGCCAGGGGAGCGAAAGGG